Molecule: ribosomal RNA, 465 nt
Filed under: uncultured bacterium
Lineage: Bacteria
Description: partial 16S ribosomal RNA
Rfam family: Bacterial small subunit ribosomal RNA
Source: RNAcentral
CCUACGGGAGGCAGCAGUGGGGAAUAUUGCGCAAUGGGCGAAAGCCUGACGCAGCGACGCCGCGUGAGGGAUGAAGGUCUUCGGAUCGUAAACCUCUGUCAGCAGGGAAGAACGGUCACUGUGCUAAUCAGCAGUGACUUGACGGUACCUGCAAAGGAAGCACCGGCUAACUCCGUGCCAGCAGCCGCGGUAAUACGGAGGGUGCGAGCGUUAAUCGGAAUUACUGGGCGUAAAGCGCUCGUAGGCGGUAUGUCAAGUCAAGGGUGAAAUCCCCGCGCUCAACGUGGGAACUGCCUUUGAAACUGGAAAACUGGAGUGUGGGAGAGGAUAGUGGAAUUCCAGGUGUAGGAGUGAAAUCCGUAGAUAUCUGGAGGAACAUCAGUGGCGAAGGCGACUAUCUGGCACAUAACUGACGCUGAGGAGCGAAAGCGUGGGUAGCAAACAGGAUUAGAUACCCGAGUAGUC